GUAUUAAUUUAGAGGCAAUAAAGCCCAUUAAUGACAUUCUAAAACAUUCUUAUGGGGUAUAUAAAAACAUAGACUUGAAACGCAAGGAAAGCUUAGCUUUCGCAUAGCAAUCCUCAAACCGAGUUUCCUCGAGAGGUGUUCCAAAUCUACAAGAAGUGCACAGGUGGUAAAAAUGGCGCUAGGCGUGCACAUGCUCCGAAAAGCCAGCAACAACCCAACCAAGUUUAUUCAAUAAUGAUCCUUCCGCAGGUUCACCUACGGAAA
This 264-nucleotide unclassified non-coding RNA is filed under the name uncultured fungus. RNAcentral describes it as "sequence contains ITS1". The record is from RNAcentral. Lineage: Eukaryota; Fungi.